AGAUUGAACGCUGGCGGCGUGCUUAACACAUGCAAGUCGAGCGGUAACGCGGGAGCAAUCCUGGCGACGAGCGGCGAACGGGUGAGUAAUGCUUGGGAAUCUGCCCAUUAGUGGGGAACAACCAGCCGAAAGGUUGGCUAAUACCGCAUACGCCCUACGGGGGAAAGCGGGGGAUCGAAAGACCUCGCGCUAAUGGAUGAGCCCAAGUCGGAUUAGCUUGUUGGUAGGGUAACGGCCUACCAAGGCGACAAUCCGUAGCUGGUCUGAGAGGACGACCAGCCACACUGGGACUGAGACACGGCCCAGACUCCUACGGGAGGCAGCAGUGGGGAAUAUUGGACAAUGGGGGGCAACCCUGAUCCAGCGACGCCGCGUGUGUGAAGAAGGCCUGCGGGUUGUAAAGCACUUUUAGUGGGGAUGAAAAGCUCAGGGUUAACACCUCUGGGUCUUGACCUAACCCACAGAAAAGCACCGGCUAACUCUGUGCCAGCAGCCGC
This 497-nucleotide ribosomal RNA is filed under the name uncultured bacterium. Its description in RNAcentral is "SSU rRNA". It matches the Rfam family "Bacterial small subunit ribosomal RNA", at positions 26 to 518 of the family's 1533-position model. The record is from RNAcentral.